UAAAAGUAGAAUACCAUGAUUCCCUUAGUAACGGCGAGUGAAGUGGGAAGUGCUCAAAUUUAAAAUCCUUCUCAAAAGGAAUUGUAAUUUAGAGAAUGUUUUGCAUGGAAGUAAAGGUUAAAGUCUGCUGGAAAGCAUGCGCUAGAAAGGGUGAUAGCCCCGUUCAACCAUUUACAACCUAAUCAGCGAACAUUUCAAAGAGUCAGGUUGCUUGGGAAUGCAGCCUAAAUUUGGUGGUAAACUCCAUCUAAAGCUAAAUAUUGAUCAGUGACCGAUAGCAAACAAGUACCGUGAGGGAAAGAUGAAAAGAACCUUGAAAAGGGGGUUAAAAGUACGUGAAAUUGUUAUUAGGAAAGCACUUGGAAGUAUUGUGGAUUAGAUGAGUCUGUUUCGGCAGAUACUGAUCUAAUUAGUCAUGAUCAGUUAAAGUUUGUAAAAAAAGUUAAAGGGAAGGUAGAUUUGUAAUGAAUCACUUAUAGACCUUUAUCAUUUACGGAUUAUGACUGAGGAAUGCUAGUUAAAGUUAUUUUGGAUUAAGUUUUAUGGAGAUGAAUUAAACAGCAAGCUGAUUAAUUUAUUCAAAAUGAACUUAAUAUUUAAUGACUUAACUUACAGGAUCAUGAUUAAAUAGUUCCAAAUGACCCGUCUUGAAACACGGACCAAGGAGUCUAACAUGGUUGCGAGUUACAGGGUGAAAAACCUUUGAGCGCAAUGAAAGUGAUAAAGAUAGGAAAGUUUUUGCACUAUCAACCUAAUCAGAAGAUAAUUUCUGACGAUUUAGAGUUAGAGCAAUUAUGUUGGGACCCGAAAGAUGGUGGGCUAUGCUUGAAUAGGGUAAAGCCAGAGGAAACUCUGGUGGAGGCUCGUAGCGAUUCUGACGUGCAAAUCGAUCGUCAAAUUUGAGCAUAGGGCGAAAGACUAAUCGACUGCUAUGGCAC
Molecule: ribosomal RNA, 938 nt
Filed under: Conidiobolus khandalensis
Lineage: Eukaryota; Fungi; Entomophthoromycota; Entomophthoromycetes; Entomophthorales; Conidiobolaceae
Description: eukaryotic LSU rRNA
Rfam family: Eukaryotic large subunit ribosomal RNA
Source: RNAcentral